UACGGGGGGAGCAAGCGUUGUUCGGAUUUACUGGGCGUAAAGGGCGCGUAGGCGGCCACGACAAGUCAGUUGUGAAAUCUCUGGGCUUAACUCAGAACGGUCAACUGAUACUGUCGGGCUAGAGUGCAGAAGGGGCAACUGGAAUUCUCGGUGUAGCGGUGAAAUGCGUAGAUAUCGAGAGGAACACCUGCGGCGAAGGCAGCUCUCUGGGACGGUACUGACGCUGAGACGCGAAAGCGUGGGGAGCGAACAGG
RNAcentral lists this ribosomal RNA (254 nucleotides) under uncultured bacterium. RNAcentral describes it as "partial 16S ribosomal RNA". It matches the Rfam family "Bacterial small subunit ribosomal RNA", at positions 524 to 776 of the family's 1533-position model. The record is from RNAcentral.